RNAcentral lists this transfer RNA (83 nucleotides) under Methanosarcinales archaeon. Its description in RNAcentral is "tRNA-Leu". It matches the Rfam family "tRNA". Rfam says of the family: Transfer RNA (tRNA) molecules are approximately 80 nucleotides in length. Their secondary structure includes four short double-helical elements and three loops (D, anti-codon, and T loops). Lineage: Archaea; Methanobacteriati; Methanobacteriota; Methanomicrobia; Methanosarcinales. The record is from RNAcentral.
GCGGGGGUUACCGAGUGGUCAAAGGUGGCAGACUCAAGAUCUGUUCGCGUAGGCGUUCGCGGGUUCGACUCCCUCUCCCCGCA